ACGAACGCUGGCGGCGUGCCUAAUACAUGCAAGUUGAGCGCUGAAGGUUGGUACUUGUACCAACUGGAUGAGCAGCGAACGGGUGAGUAACGCGUGGGGAAUCUGCCUUUGAGCGGGGGACAACAUUUGGAAACGAAUGCUAAUACCGCAUAAAAACUUUAAACACAAGUUUUAAGUUUGAAAGAUGCAAUUGCAUCACUCAAAGAUGAUCCCGCGUUGUAUUAGCUAGUUGGUGAGGUAAAGGCUCACCAAGGCGAUGAUACAUAGCCGACCUGAGAGGGUGGUCGGCCACAUUGGGACUGAGACACGGCCCAAACUCCUACGGGAGGCAGCAGUAGGGAAUCUUCGGCAAUGGACGAAAGUCUGACCGAGCAACGCCGCGUGAGUGAAGAAGGUUUUCGGAUCGUAAAACUCUGUUGGUAGAGAAGAACGUUGGUGAGAGUGGAAAGCUCAUCAAGUGACGGUAACUACCCAGAAAGGGACGGCUAACUACGUG
Molecule: ribosomal RNA, 496 nt
Filed under: uncultured bacterium
Lineage: Bacteria
Description: partial 16S ribosomal RNA
Rfam family: Bacterial small subunit ribosomal RNA
Source: RNAcentral